Non-coding RNA from Pyronema omphalodes, 72 nucleotides. Lineage: Eukaryota; Fungi; Ascomycota; Pezizomycetes; Pezizales; Pyronemataceae. The record is from the annotation of a GenBank genome assembly.
GCCUGGCUGGCGCAAUGGUAGCGCGUCAGACUUCUAAUCUGAAGGUUGCGGGUUCGACCCCCGCGUUGGGUU